UCUAUGCCAUCAGUCCAUCAAAAUAAGUGUUUUAUUCAAGCAAGUUCUUAGAGUUAUAGUUGGAUAAGAAAUUACAAAUACAAGCGUAGAUUAGCUAAUAGCUAAUAUUAUUGUUCGAACAGUAGAAAGCUUGAUCAGAAGAAGGAGGUUUUAACUAGCUAGAGUUCAAGAUUUUGCCGAAGCAAGAAUUUUUGCUCUUAGACCUUUGAGAUAGGUCAACAUUGCACUGCGAUCAGGAAAGGUCUCUUUGAUUAUGGGAAUCUCUUUGAACCUUUGAAUCCAUGCAUGUAAGCGAGGGAGGGUUUCGGCUUCAAUCACUUUCACCCCAGCUAUGUCACUCAUGUCAUACAGCCACCAAGCUAGCCACCCGAAUACUAAAUCAGCCAUUCCAAUCUCAUCUCCUCCGAAAAACUUCUUGUCUCCGAGUCCCUGCUCUUCCAAGAUUCUCAGCUGCUCCUGCGUUUCUUCUGUUGCUUUCACUUGUUGUUCUCCCUCAGUUAUGAGGAAACUAUACAGGGCUUGGGUCUUUGUCACACAAAACCUGUAUGUUAGUUCAAGUUGGAUAUAGUUCGGUCUGUUUAUGUUAUAUUGUUAGACCGUGAAUUGUCAACUAGUUAUAUAAACAAACAUGCAUGCAUUGCGACAAUCGAAUCAUUUCACAACAAAACGUAGUAAAAAUAGUUGAGUGAUCAUUCAUUCAUUACCUUGUCCUCUCCGAACUUGGUCCAGAACCGGGCCAAAGCUCGUUGAUGAGGGUCUUUAGGAAGCAAGGGGUUCUGCGGCCAUGUCUCUUCAAUGUACUCAAGAAUGACGUUAGACUCUACGAUUGGUUUUCCGGCAUGAACAAGAACCGGGACCUUCUUAUGGACUGGGUUGUAUUUCAGAAGAAGAUCACUCUUGGUUUGUAACACAUUCUCUUCAACAUACUCGUAGUCUACACCCUUGAGUUUAAGUGCCCAGAUAACCCUGUAAACAUAUGGACUCGACCAAAAUCCUAACAAUGUAACUUGUGCCAUUUUUGCUGGUUCUGUUAUGAUCAUGGAUUGGUUUCUACAUGUACAAUUAUAUGCCUCACAUUCAACUUGUGUAUCUUGAUAAGGUAUAGAGGUAUAUAUAUAGAGGCCAUUUUGUCCUUUGUUUGCUAUUGCUGACUUUUCUUUUUCAGAUGCAAGUUUGCAUACAGAGAUAAAAUAUCUUUAACAAAAACAAAAAAACUUGACAAGCGAGCCAUACUAGACCAUUAAUCUUCCUAAAGUUGACCACAAAUUUUGACUACAAAUUUGACAAGUACAACAACGCCAAUCCAGGUAAUGAAGAGGGAAAGAGACACACAUUGUUUACAGAAAUGGAAGACGUGAUGAAGCUUGUAUUGUAAACAUGACAUGGACAUAUCAUAAAAGUUCUUGUAAUUGGAAUUCCGGAUUAAAUUAUACACAUAUUGGCCGUGUUUGAUUAGCCGGAUAUAAGGCCCAGACACGAUAAAAAUUUACCUAUCUGCUCACAUGUCAUGUUUGGUGAUGCAGAUAUGGUUGAGUCAGAAAAUUUUAUUCCCGUCAGACAUGGAUUAGAAAUCCAUCUAAAAAGGUGUUAUUAAAAUUAUCCGGCUUCAUUUCGACAAACGCCGAAACCACCCACAGCCACAGCUUCUCUUCCACAAAAGCUUCUCUUAUGCAAUCGAAAACGACUGCCUUUGACCGUUUUUAACCGUCGCUGAUCUCGUUUCCAACUUUUUUCAAGUUAAGUUUCCUUCAGAUCUAACUCUUGUUUGUGCCUUCCGAUCUGUAGCUGAUGUUCUGUAUGAGAUUCAAAUUUUGAUGGAGUUUUUUCUCUUUUAUUUGGUAUUAUGAAUUCAAUUAAUGGGUAAUAUGAAUUUUGAAUAAAUUGAGAUAUGUGUCCCGUUGGUUAUAAGAUCUGGGCUCAUGGCAUCAAGUUCUUGUAAAGGUUUCUCUUCUGAUAAGUUAUCUCUCGAUAAUUCUUGUGGCUAUGGUUGAAAUUGGUCACUUCCUGUUGUCUCUACUAAUAUUGGUGUUGGCCAGGUUUGAUGAAAGAAAUUACUCUAACAUGAAUGAAAUUGUAAGACAAAAUUGAGCUGAUUGAUCGAGUAGAUUGCUCCAACAUGAAUGAUAUACGAAUUGGGAAUAUAUGAUGUAAUUAGUAUCUUGUAUGGGGGAGGCUAAGGCUUAGUGAAUUUAUAUGUAAAGAUGGUUCCUGCACCCUCACUAUCAUCAGUCACUUAUGCAUUCGUCCCAUAAAGAAUUUCGAUAGUGAGAAGUGUAGAAGAUCAGUUUAGAGAUCAAUGGCCUCUUUUGCAGGUUUGUUGAUCUUGUUCAAUACUUGGUCAUCUCUUUAUUAUAUGCAAUAUGAGUGUUCUGUAUCUUCUGGUAAACAUUGUUAUUACUUGAUCACUUUGGUUUCGGUUAUGUUUGCUGGCCACCUUGGUGAGCUUAAGUUUGCUGGCCAAUUCGUGGGCCGUUGUCACUGGAUUUGCUUUCAUGGUAAGAUAACUCUCUAUGUACUUGCUCUAUCAUGUUGCUUCAAAUUAAUCUGUAUUUCCUUUCAAAUUUAGUAUGUAGGAAAUUGGAUAGAGCAGUGAUGGAGUGCUAUUCCCUAAUUCAUAUCUGAUAUAGAAGUGUUGGUUAUUAGAUAUGCUUUAGCACCUGAUUUGGGGUACUGUUUUUCAAAUUAUGUUUCCACCCUUCUCACAUUAAGCAUUUUCUUUGUCUUCUGGUAUCCGAGAGUGACUUCAAUUCUUAUGUGAGAAGAAACGUGGAAGGUCUUUCUUGAUUUUAUUCAGAGGACAGAGGUGGCUUACCAUUUUCCUGAUUGUAGUUUAAACAUGAUAUCGAGAUACUUUAGUUAUUUCUUUGCUUUGAUCUUUUAUGUUAAAUGUUUGUUUACGUUGAUCACUUGUAUCUAUAAUAUGAUAGUAAUAAUAAUGAUUGGGGGAAGAGGAAAAUGAUUUGGACAACAGUAGUACUAGAAUUUAUUUCCCAUGAACUUAUAGAUAUUCCUUAUCACAAUAAUGCUAAUGGUGAACUGUAUGGUAAUAUAUAUAUAUAUAUAUAUAUAUAUAUAUAUAUAUAUAUAUAUAUAUAUAUGAACAGCCAAAUCAAAAACGAAAAUGAAUUUACACUAUCAAUUGUGUUUAGGUUGGGUUGACUGGAGCACUUGACACCCUGUGUCGGGAAGGAUUUGCUGCAAAGUCGUACAAAAUGUUGGUCUGCAAGCCUCUUCCAUCAUAUCUUUCCUCUUCUCUAUCAUCAUAUCUGCAGUCUGAUUCUACACCAAGCCCGCCCUUAUCUUACUCCAUAAAGAUCCUCAAAUUUCGAUACCUGCUGCUCUUAUUUGCGUAUGGAUUCUUGAAUAACAUAUUGAGAUUUCUUCAGGCAUCUUUUGUCAUUCCAUUGGUUUUUCUCCUGAAGUCUCGCUACUGAUGAGUACAUUUGUGGUUUACUUUCAUCUAUAGAAAUCAUCAUUUCAUAUAUAAGCAAAUUUUGUUUGAUCUAUUAAUUGUGUCCAAAAUAAUUGUUGUAAAUUUUGUACUGGAUUUAUGAGUGCUUUCAUUUUUAUUUUUAUUUAAUUUGUUAUCAAAAUUUUAUAAGUGGUUGGCAGGAGAAAUGAAAAAAUAAAUUACAGACCAGAAAAAAGAGAAAUAAAAAAAAUAAAUUGAUGAUAAGAAGAUUGUUGAAAAUAAACUGUUUUUGGCUUAUCCAAUCAGCCACGGUUAUCUGGCUGUCCAAACAUUGUAUUGGAUAAGAAAUAGGCAUUCGCAAAUCUAAUCUAGUCAAGGUCUGACAAGAUUAAUUAGAAAUCAUGUCUAGUCCGUGUUACGAAACGCCUCCAAUGUAUCAAAUGGUUAAGUUAGGGAUCUGAAUUGUAUAAUGAUUUUAUACUAAUUGGUUUCUUUUUUGGGAGGAGUCUAAACCUUAGUUGAAUCCUAUAUAAACCUGGUCCCUACACACUCUAUCCACCAGUUGCUAAAAGUCUAGUCCUAGAUAUAGAAUAGAGUGUUGUGUAGAAGAUCGGAGUUUGGAAUAUCAAUGACCUCUAGUUCAGGUUUGUUAAAUUCCCUUAAGAACUCUAGUUAAUGUAUUUGCUUAGUUGUGUUUGUUUUGUUUGAUUCUAUAGUAUCUAUUUAUCUUGUGUGUUGAGUUUCUUGUGAUCAAUGGAUUGGGCUAACACAUAUGACCAAUCAAGUUUAAUUGUUUAAACAAUAUUUGCAGACGAUCCGAGUCAUCCGACUUGUUCUCUCUCUCUCAUAGAAUGGCCAAUGUUCUAUUGUUCUUGAAAAUGUGAUGUAAAUUGAUUCAGUUUCAUACAUACAAACAUAUAUUUAUGCCGUAAGUCCAUCGAUCAAAAAAAGUGCUUUAUUCAAGCAAGUUCUUAGAGUUAUAGUUGGAUAGGAAGAUUUACAGAUACAAGCGUACAUCAGCUUAAUUAAUAGCUAAUAUUAUUGUUCGAAAAGUAGAAAGCUCGAUCAACAGAAGAAGGUUUUAGCUAGCUAGAGUUUAAGAUUUUGCCGAAGCAAGAAGUAUUGCUCUUCCACCUUUGAAAUAGGUCAACAUUGCACUGCGAUCAGGAAGGUGCUCUUUGAUUGUGGGGAUGUCCUUGAACCGUUGAAUCCAGGCAUGCAAGCGAGGGAAGGUUUCGGCUUCAAUCCCCUUCACCCCAGCUAGUUCACUCAUGACAUCCAUCCACCAAGCUAGCCACCCGAAUUCCAAAUCAGCCAUUCCAAGCUCAUCUCCUCCGAAAAACUUCUUGUCUCCGAGUCCCUGCUCUUCCAAGAUUGUCAGCUGCUCUUGCCUUUCUUUUGUUGCUUUCACUUGCUGUUCUCCCUCAGUCAUGAAAAAUCCAAACAGGGCUCCGAACUAUGUGACAUGCACAAAACAUCUACAUUACUUCGACUUGAAUAUAAUGCGCGCGAUCUUUUAUUUAUGUUAUGUCGUUAGACCGUCAGUUGUCAACUCGUUAUAUAAACAAACAUGCAUACUUGCAUGCGACUACAAACUACUCAUUUCAUCAUGUAACGUAAUUGAAAUAGUAGUGAUCAUCAAUUACCUUGUCCUCUCCGAACUUUAUCCAGAACCGGGCCAAAGCUCGUUGAUGAGGGUCUUUAGGAAGCAAGGGGUUCUGCGGCCAUGUCUCUUCGAUGUACUCAAGUAUUACAGCAGACUCUGCGAUUGGUUUUCCGGCAUGAACAAGAACGGGAACCUUCUUAUGGACUGGGUUGUACUUCAGAAGACGAUCACUCUUGUUGUGUAACACAUCCUCUUCAACAUACUCGUAGUCUACACCCUUGAGUUUAAGUGCCCAGAUAACCCUGUAAACAUAUGGACUCGACCAAGCUCCUAACACUGUAACUUGUGACAUUUUUGCUGGUUCUGUUAUGAUCCUAGACUGGUUUCUACAUGACUAUAUAUGCCUCGCAUUCAAUUUGGUUACCUUGUGCUUCAAUUAAUCUACAUGGUCGGGAAGGAUUAGAGGCCAAUUUGUCCUUCUUUUGCUAUUGUUUACUCUACUUUUAAAUAUGUAGUUGGUAUAAAAGAGAUAAGAUAUCAUUUUCGCCAAGUUUCUCUUUUAUUUGAGGACCAUAUUUCUCUGGAAAAUACAAAAGACUUGUCAAGCAAGUCAUACUAGACCCUUAAUCUUCCUAAAGUUGACCAGAGUUUGGACUACAUACUUAUAAAAUACAACGAACCCAAUCCUUACGUUGAGGGCAGCUGUUGGUUGUUGUGAAAAGGGAAAGAGACACAUUGUUUACAUAAAUGUAAGAAGUGAUGAAGCUGCUAGGAUUAGGAAUAUGGCUUCUAGUCUCUUACGUUACAAGAGUCAGUGGAUCUAGAAACUUGUUAACAAAGAUCAAAGUCUCUUCCUUUAAACUAUAAUAUAAGGAUUAAAAUCUCUGUGAUAUAUUUGAUAUAUCCUCCGAUAUCUCUAUUUUUUUAAGGACCGAUAUAUCUAGAGUGGUAAAUAUAUUAUCUUCCACUGUAUCUUCCAUAUAUCUAGAGGUGUUGUUCUUAGCGAUUUUAUCAAAGACCACUUUGGGUUUCUUGUUGAUUUUUUAAAUCCUAACCCUUAAACCCUAUACCCUAAACCUAUACCCUAACUAUAUAUAUAUCCUAUACCCUAACUAUAUAUCCUAUAUCCUGUACCCUAAACCCUGUACCCUAAACCCUAGGCCAAACUCAUUAAAAACCCAAGACGGUAAUUUCACAAAACAUAGAAAAACUUAGUUUAUAUUUUAGUUGUAAUAAAUUUACGUGUCAAAAUUUAAUUGACAAGAGAGGACCACGUCAGACUGCCACUUGGUCCUUUGGGAGCAUUUAAAAAUUUCUCCUAAUUGAGUUGAUUGGUUGAGGUGAUUGAUCAAAAGUAUAAAUGAUAUACAAAUCAAGGAUAUAUGUGAUUCUAUAUUAAUUGGUUUCCUUUAUGGGAGGAUUCCAUACUAAUUAGUUGAAUCCUAUAUAAACCUGGUCCCUAUACAGUCUAUCCACCAGUUGCUAAAAGUCUAGUCCUAGAUAUAGAAUAGAGUGUUGUGUACAAGAUCGGAGUUUGGAAUAUCAAUGGCUUCUAAUUCAGGUUUGUUAAUUGAAUUCCCUUAAGAACUCUAGUUAGUGUAUUUGCUUAGUUGUGUUUGUUUUGUUUGAUUCUAUAGUAUUUAUUUAUCUUGUGUGUUGAGUUUCUUGUGAUCAAUGGAUCGAGGCUAACACAUCUGACCAAUCAAGUUUAAUUGUUUAAACAAUAUUUGAAGACGAUCCAAGUCAUCCGACUCUCUCUCUCUCUNNNNNNNNNNNNNNNNNNNNUCUCUCUCUCUCUCUCUCUCNCUCUCUUCUCUCUCUCUCUCUCUCUCUCUCUCUCUCUCUCUCUCUCUCUCUCUCUCUCAUAGAAUGGCCAAUGUUCUAUUGUUCUUGAAAAUGUGAUGUAAAUUGAUUCAGUUUCAUACAUACAAACAUAUAUUUAUGCCAUAAGUCCAUCGAUCAAAAAAAGUGUUUUAUUCAAGCAAGUUCUUAGAGUUAUAGUUGGAUAGGAAGAUUACAGAUACAAGCGUACAUCAGCUUAAUUAAUAGCUAAUAUUAUUGUUCGAAAAGUAGAAAGCUCGAUCAACAGAAGGAGGUUGUAGCUAGCUAUAGUUUAAGGUUUUGCAGAAGCAAGAAAUAUUGCUCUUCGACCUUUGAAAUAGGUCAACAUUGCACUGCGAUCAGGAAGGGGCUCUUUGAUUGUGGGGAUGUCCUUGAACCGUUGAAUCCAGGCAUGCAAGCGAGGGAAGGUUUCGGCUUCAAUCCCCUUAACCCCAGCUAGUUCACUAAUGACAUCCAUCCACCAAGCUAGCCACCCGAAUUCCAAAUCAGCCAUUCCAAUCUCGUCACCACCGAAAAACUUCUUGUCUCCGAGGCCCUGCUCUUCCAAGAUUCUCAGCUGCUCUUGCCUUUCUUUUGUUGCUUUCACUUGCUGUUCUCCCUCAGUCAUGAAAAAUCCAAACAGGGCUCCUAACUAUGUGACAUGCACAAAAUAUCUACAUUACUUCGAUUUGAAUAAAAUGCGCGCGAUCUUUUAUUUAUGUUUUGUCGCUAGACCGUCAGUUGUCAACUCGUUAUAUAAACAAACAUGCAUACUUGCAUGCGACUACAGACUACUCAUUUCAUCAUGUAACGUAAUUGAAAUAGUACGUUGAGUGAUCAUCAAUUACCUUGUCCUCUCCGAACUUUGUCCAGAACCGCGCCAAAGCUCGUUGAUGGGGGUCCUUAGGAAGCAAGGGGUUCUGCGGCCAUGUUUCUUCGAUGUACUCAAGUAUGACAGCAGACUCUGCGAUUGGUUUUCCGGCAUGAACAAGAACGGGAACCUUCUUAUGGACUGGGUUGUACUUCAGAAGACGGUCACUCUUGUUGUGUAACACAUCCUCCUCUACAUACUCAUAGUCUACACCCUUGAGUUUAAGCGCCCAGAUAACCCUGUAAACAAAUGGACUAGGCCAGAAUCCUAACACUGUAACUUGUGACAUUUUUGCUGGUUCCGUUAUGAUCCUAGACUGGUUUCUACAUGUAUAUAUAUGCCUCGCAUUCAACUUGGUUAUCUUGUGCUUCAAUUAAUCUACAUGGUCGGGAAGGAUUAGAGGCCAAUUUGUCCUUCUUUCGCUAUUGGUUACUCUACUUUAAAUAUGUGGUUGGUAUAAAAGAGAUAAGAUAUCGUUUUAAAUACAAAAGACUUGUCAAGCAAGUCAUACUAGACCAUUCAUCUUCCUAAAGUUGACAAGAGUUUAGACUACAUAUAAAAUACAACGAAGCCAAUCCUUACGUUGAGGGCAGCUGUUGGUUGUGAAAAGGGAAAGAGACACAUUGCUUACAGAAAUGUAAGAAGUGAUGAAGCUGCUAGGAUUACAAGAGUCACUGGAUCUAGAAACUAGGGGUCAAGUAUAUGUGAAUCGAAAGAGAAACUUGUUUAGAAGAUCAAAGUCUUCCUGUAAAGUAUAACAUGCUUCGCAAGAAGAUUUUGGUGCUCGUUCGAGGAGCUUAAUUGCUCACUAAAUCCAGAGCUAUACUAAUGAUCAUAUAAUAUCCUCCACCAAAUGAGGGAUGUAAAAACUAUUCUUGUGUUUAAAAAUACUAGCAUCUUACUCCUGCAUUUACACAAGGGAACUCACAAAAUCACUAUAAAUGGUUAAUUUUGGUUUGUAGGCUUGGUUUUUGACGUUGGAAUUACAUACUGCUACCUUAAAUAGUUGCAUAAUACACAAAACCUAUAUUUUAAAAUAUUUAAACAAAUAAUGCCAGAAGCCCAAGCUCGUAAAGAAUAGUAUCAGGCUUGAUCUGUAACGUUGAUGUGAAAAUGACUGAAAACCCGUGUUUUAUGAAAUAACUACAACAUUGACAUUGACAGAAACCAAAACCGUUCUCUCUCUCUCUCUGAUCCCUAAAAUCGUCGAUAUCUUUCUCACCAUUCCAAAACCAAGUGCUAUUGUUUGGUCACAAUAUUUCCAAAACCAUGUUGUAUCAUCACAAUAUUACUCCUUACAAGACCAAACAAGAGGAGCUGAACCAAGUUGAAGCAAGGAAUCGAGUCAAUCGGGUCACGGAUUGAGUGGCAGCGAAUCGGGUUGGCUGGGUUUGGGAUUAGAGAUUGAGUAGUAGUGGUAGUGAUUCGAUUUGGGAAUUUGUAAUUUAGAUCUCAACAGACCUUAUAAUCAGAAACAGAGAAGUAUGUAAAUGGCGAGGAGCUUGACGACUUAGAAAGGGGUGGUGGUAGAGUAGUCGGUCUCGUUGAUGAUGAGUUUGUAGCUUUUGAGGGUUAUGUUCAGAUCUUACUGCUACUGAUGCCAUGACGAUCAUGUCAUGCUGCUACUGUUGUAGAUUUCAGGUUUUGCUGCUACUGCUGCCAUGACUAUUAGGUUAUGUUGCUACUGUUGUAGAUUUUACUACUACUGCUACUUAUGGUCAGGUCUUGCUGCUACUGUUGUCGGUGUUUAAUUUGGGUUUCUUAUUGAAUUUGAAGUUGCAGAUGAAUAUGAUGUGGGUUGCUUAAAAAUCUGAAACUAGUGGACGAGAGAUUUGACUUGGGUGAUUUGUCAAGGUUUGUGUUAGUAACGUGAAAGUUGAUAAGUCUUAGAGCAAGUCCACCGGUGACAAAAAAAAUCCGACCCAGGUUGGAUCACAUAGACAAAGUGACACAGCCUAAAAAUAGUUGCUUCCACCCAUGAAAAUUUUGGGGCGAGUAUUGUAACCCAGGUGAGUUUGGGUUAAAUUUUAUGCGAGUAUAGUAACCCAAAAUCUAACCCAGGCUAAUUAAUUCCUCAACCGCCACAUCAGCAAAAGAGCCCAACGUGGCUGACGUUAGACAGGGCCAUUCUCUUUCUCUCUCUACUUCUUUACUCGCCAGUGGCUCGUGUGAAGAGCAGUGGCUCAUAUAUAUAUAUGCCGCAUGACCACGUGAGGAGCACUGCUCAUGGAGAAGACAUACAAUGUAGCUGGGACCCAUUAGAUAUUAUUAAAUGUAAAAAUGUAAAAAUAUCAAGUAAAACCAUUAAUUACAAAAAAAAAAAAAUACGUAAAAACUAGGGUUACAUCAAUUAGAAAAAAAAAAAUUCUAUAAGAUGUAAACUACAGGAAAACUAUAUAAACUGUUAUGAAAAAUUCCCUAGCGUUUAUAAAUAAUUUCUUAUAUCCCUAGCUAACCAAUUUAGAUUGUGUAUUUUUUUUAUUAUGUUUGUGUUUUCAUCCUUACAAAAUUUCAAAUAAUUGUAAACUUUUUUAGGCUUGGCUUGUCAAUUAAAUGUCAAGAAAUAAAAAAAAUUCAAUAAGUCAUAUUUUUUUAUGUAAUUACUAUUUAUUUACAACUAAAAUAAUUAUUCACACUUAAAAACGUUUUUUUAAAAUUCAAUAAACAGUCACUGUCACGUGUCAGCAAUCCCACAUUUUAAACGGGUGGAAACUGCUGCCCAAUCAUAGUGACUCAGAGUGACCCAGGUCACUGUGUUCAAUAUAACUCAACGGGUGAACUUGCUUUUAGUAGCUUAUAGUUGUUGAAAAAUAUAUACAACUAACAGAGCAAUAGCUUAGCUAAAUAAGAGUAGUAGUAAGUUUUUACUUGUAUCAUGAGAUGUGAGCAUAAAAACUAGCAUAGAAGAAGCACAACUAAUAUUCAUCUCAUCUACCUUUUCAUAGUAGCAUAGUAACAUUCAGUAAUAGUAGUAGCAACACAAUAACAUUCGGUAACAACAGUAUCAGAAACAUUUCAAUCGACAAUAACAACAACAAUAUUCCAGUAGACAAUAACAAGAACAUUGCAAUAAACAGUAGCAUCAACAUUCUAACAAGUGUAGUAGCAUCUAAAGCAAGACAUGAUGUGGUCUGAUUUAAUUUGAUUUUUAUUAGAAAAGACAAAAAGGACAAGAUUUAAUCUUUAAACAUAAAUUUGAUAGUUGAAACAUGAGUCACAUAUUUUAUCAAGUGUUUCAGAGAUCAACAGAAGAGAUUUCUUUACUCAUAUGACCAAUUAAUUUAAACUAUAUUUUAGACAAUUCGACUUGUUUUAAGUUAUUUAUCUCUCUCUCUCUCUCUCAUCUUGAAGGAAUGGCCAAUUAAUGUUCUUGAAAAUUUGAUGUAUAUUGAAUAAUUGAUUCUGUUUCAAACAUAUAUCUAUGCCAUAAGUCCAUAAAAAUAAGUGUUUUAUUUAAUCAAGUUCUUCGAGUUAUAGUUGGAUAAGAAAAUUAAAGAUACAAGCGUACAUCAGCUAAUAGAUAAUAUAAUUGUUCGAAAAGUAGAAAGCAAGCAGGAGAUUUUAGCUAUAGCUAGAGUUUAAGAUUUUGCCAAAGCAAGAAAUGUUGCUCUUCGACCUUUGAAAUAGGUCAACAUUGCACUGCGAUCAGGAAGGGGCUCUUUGAUUGCAGAGAUGUCCUUGAACCUUUGAAUCCAGGCAUGCAAGCGAGGGAAGCUUUCGGCAUCAAUCACUUUAACUCCAGCUAUUUCACUCAUGACAUCCAGCCACCAAGCUAGCCACCCGAAUUCUAAAUCAGCCAUUCCAAUCUCAUCUCCUCCAAAAAACUUUUUUUCGCCGAG
Molecule: long non-coding RNA, 11549 nt
Filed under: Fragaria vesca (wild strawberry)
Lineage: Eukaryota; Viridiplantae; Streptophyta; Magnoliopsida; Rosales; Rosaceae
Description: long non-coding RNA (FVES_LNC000580)
Source: RNAcentral